AGUUAUAGACAAAAAUAAAGAGCGAUUUCGAUUGUCUCAUUUUUUCGAUUAUAAAUUUUGUUGAUGCCGAUUUUGUCACUUUUGCGCGCAAGAAAUGUCAAAAUUUGAGUUGGUCGAACGUUUGACAUUUGCAAAAGUCGCUACAUUUUUGCGUCGAACAUGAUGCUUUGCAACAUUGCCGCAGUGAUUGAGACUCGAACAUCCCCUUUGUUUGAGUUUAUUUCAUGGUUAAAUGCUUUACGAUGGUUUAUUUAGUUAUUUGAAUCUGGAAGAAGUGUUUACAAAUUUCCCUUGGAACGAUAAACAUCAGAUCGGCUGAUAUUUUAUUCCAAUAAAAGUACGAAAUAACUAAGCAUGGCCUUGUUAAUAUUGCUGCGUAAUGGGUCAGGCGCUGUUCCAAUUUUAUGAUUUAAGAGAUUAAAAAGCGAUACGCGAUGCUGUGAAGUACUCAAAUGUAGUUUUCAAAUUAGUUGGUCGUGAAUUCGAGACAAAAUUUUAAACUCAAUGACGUGCUCGUGGAAGGUGCACGUCGCAUUGCUAAAAUCAGCAAAGGAGCUGGUGUAGAACGCUAGUCCCAAACCAAUGAGCUUUGUGCUUGAGGGUGGAAGCAACUUUUUGAGGAGCUAAUACUACGGUGAGCACAUUCGGAUGUUGUACAAGCUAUUGUCAAUUGCGCUAAGGAUCCCGAUACUGCUGGUCAGGUUUAUCAAGCUGUUGGCGUUACCCGUUAAGCGAAUUAAUUGAAACCAGUCAAUCGUGUUAUCCGCAAAACUUAAAAAUGCGUUGUAUCCUAACUUCCUAUUGAAAGCCAAGUCGUUUGGAUGCACAAUUGACCUCCAUGGAAGAGCAAGUACCAUGGAAAUUGCGACCAUAUCGUGCUGCGCAAUAUUAUGAUGCCGAAUUGGAAGAGUGGGAGGAACCAGCUCCACCAAAAUCGAUACGUAUAUACGUAACUACGUAUGUUUGCAUAAAACUACUAUAAUGGCAACAACGCUAACAACAACAACCAAGCAAAUAUUAAACAACACUCAUCAAAUGAAAGUUGGUGGCGUUGGUGGCCAAGCCUGAGUAUAUACAGUAAUAAACCUUUUCUUUGUUUACAUACAUAUACUCACCUCUAGAAAAUCUUAGGGUGUUGUGUUACACUUUUUUUUGCUACUUUCAUGGUAAUCAGGUUGUUGUGUUAGCAUUUAAACUACCUAUAAAUUUUAAAUUUUGAUGACCGAGACUUUAAAAGAUAUUACAUAAUGCAAGCGUUUACGUUAUUUAAGUGAUUAUAUUGAAUUACUUUGGAUAUCUGUUCAAUUUUAUUGGGAUAUUAGUUAUUAUUUAAAGUUAAAUCAGUUGUUUUUUUGUGCAAUUUUUAAACACGCUUCAAGUAUUUCCAAAUUUUUGCAUGCAGAAGGAUACAAUCCUGGGUGGUAAUUUGUCGUUUGACUUAUACAAAAUGACGACUCGUUUGCCGUUAUAAGAAAACAUCAAUUGGAAAUUGAGUUUAAA
This is a long non-coding RNA of Bactrocera neohumeralis, 1500 nucleotides long. RefSeq lists it as uncharacterized. NCBI's taxonomy places the organism in Eukaryota, Metazoa, Arthropoda, Insecta, Diptera, Tephritidae. The record is from RefSeq and is a predicted model, not a curated record. The transcript has 3 exons.